RNAcentral lists this ribosomal RNA (508 nucleotides) under uncultured bacterium. RNAcentral's name for it is "partial 16S ribosomal RNA". It matches the Rfam family "Bacterial small subunit ribosomal RNA", at positions 28 to 523 of the family's 1533-position model. The record is from RNAcentral.
GAUGAACGCUAGCUACAGGCUUAACACAUGCAAGUCGAGGGGAAACGACAUCGAAAGCUUGCUUUUGAUGGGCGUCGACCGGCGCACGGGUGAGUAACGCGUAUCCAACCUGCCCACCACUUGGGGAUAACCUUGCGAAAGUAAGACUAAUACCCAAUGACGUCUCUAGAAGACAUCUGAAAGAGAUUAAAGAUUUAUCGGUGAUGGAUGGGGAUGCGUCUGAUUAGCUUGUUGGCGGGGUAACGGCCCACCAAGGGGACGAUCAGUAGGGGUUCUAGGAGGAAGGUCCCCCACAUUGGAACUGAGACACGGUCCAAACUCCUACGGGAGGCAGCAGUGAGGAAUAUUGGUCAAUGGGCGAGAGCCUGAACCAGCCAAGUAGCGUGCAGGAUGACGGCCCUAUGGGUUGUAAACUGCUUUUAUAAGGGAAUAAAGUGAGUCUCGUGAGACUUUUUGCAUGUACCUUAUGAAUAAGGACCGGCUAAUUCCGUGCCAGCCGCCGCAGUAA